RNAcentral lists this ribosomal RNA (465 nucleotides) under uncultured bacterium. RNAcentral's name for it is "partial 16S ribosomal RNA". It matches the Rfam family "Bacterial small subunit ribosomal RNA", at positions 28 to 507 of the family's 1533-position model. The record is from RNAcentral.
GAUGAACGCUGGCGGCGUGCUUAACACAUGCAAGUCGAACGGAAAGGCCCAAGCUUGCUUGGGUACUCGAGUGGCGAACGGGUGAGUAACACGUGGGUGAUCUGCCCUGCACUUCGGGAUAAGCCUGGGAAACUGGGUCUAAUACCGGAUAGGACCACAUUUUGGAUGGUGUGGUGGAAAGUUUUUCGGUGUGGGAUGAGCUCGCGGCCUAUCAGCUUGUUGGUGGGGUACUGGCCUACCAAGGCGUCGACGGGUAGCCGGCCUGAGAGGGUGUACGGCCACAUUGGGACUGAGAUACGGCCCAGACUCCUACGGGAGGCAGCAGUGGGGAAUAUUGCACAAUGGGCGCAAGCGUGAUGCAGCGACGCCGCGUGGGGGAUGACGGCCUUCGGGUUGUAAACUCCUUUCGCUAGGGACGAAGCGCAAGUGACGGUACCUGGAGAAGAAGCACCGGCUAACUACGUG